Molecule: unclassified non-coding RNA, 232 nt
Filed under: uncultured Goffeauzyma
Lineage: Eukaryota; Fungi; Basidiomycota; Tremellomycetes; Filobasidiales; Filobasidiaceae
Description: sequence contains ITS2
Source: RNAcentral
AAUCAUCAACCACUCUGUUGGGUAAACCAAUGGAGUUGGAUUGGAUUUGGGCGUUUUUGUCAAUUCGCGUUGACUCGCCUUAAAAGGAUUCAGUGGAACCUAGGUCUCUUCGAAGAUCUAUACUGGUUUGACUUGGCGUAAUAAGUAUUUCGCUAAGGACAAUGUUUCGGCAUUGGCCAGAAUAGAACCCUUUGUUGUCUAGGCGUCUGCUCUCUAACCCUCAUAUUUUGAC